This 348-nucleotide ribosomal RNA is filed under the name uncultured fungus. RNAcentral's name for it is "SSU rRNA". It matches the Rfam family "Eukaryotic small subunit ribosomal RNA", at positions 20 to 370 of the family's 1831-position model. Lineage: Eukaryota; Fungi. The record is from RNAcentral.
GUAGUCAUAUGCUUGUCUCAAAGAUUAAGCCAUGCAUGUCUAAGCAUAAGCAACUUGUGAAGUGAAACUGCGAAUGGCUCAUUAAAUCAGUUAUCGUUUAUUUGUUAGUACCACACUACAAGGAUACCUGUGGUAAGAGUAGAGAUAAUCCAUGUUAAAAACCCCGACUUCGAGAAGGGGUGUAUUUAUUAGAUAAAAAACCAACGCCCUUCGGGGCUCCUUGGUGAAUCAUAAUAACUUAUCGAAUCGCAUGGCCUUGCGCCGGCGAUGGUUCAUUCAAAUAUCUGCCCUAUCAACUUUCGAUGGUAGGAUAGUGGCCUACCAUGGUUGCAACGGGUAACGGGGAAU